CGGCAGGCUUACACAUGCAAGUCGAGCGGGCAUCCUUGUGGUGUCAGCGGCAGACGGGUGAGUAACGCGUGGGAACGUGCCCUUCGGUUCGGAAUAACUCAGGGAAACUUGAGCUAAUACCGGAUGCGUGCGCGAGCAGAAAGGUUUAUCUGCCGAAGGAUCGGCCCGCGUCUGAUUAGCUAGUUGGUGAGGUUACGGCUCACCAAGGCGACGAUCAGUAGCUGGUCUGAGAGGAUGAUCAGCCACACUGGGACUGAGACACGGCCCAGACUCCUACGGGAGGCAGCAGUGGGGAAUAUUGGACAAUGGGGGCAACCCUGAUCCAGCCAUGCCGCGUGAGUGAUGACGGCCUUAGGGUUGUAAAGCUCUUUUCUCCGGGACGAUAAUGACGGUACCGGAGGAAUAAGCCCCGGCUAACUUCGUGCCAGCAGCCGCGGUAAUACGAAGGGGGCUAGCGUCUGCUCGGAAUCACUGGGCGUAAAGGGCGCGUAGCGGCUGACUUAGUCCAGGGUGAAAGCCCGUUGGCUCAACCACGGAAUGGCCUUCGAUACUGGUUGGCUUGAGACCGGAAGAGGACAGGGAACUUGCGAGUGUAGAGGUGAAAUUCGUAGAUAUUCGCAAGAACA
RNAcentral lists this ribosomal RNA (626 nucleotides) under bacterium W17. RNAcentral describes it as "bacterial SSU rRNA". It matches the Rfam family "Bacterial small subunit ribosomal RNA", at positions 40 to 708 of the family's 1533-position model. The record is from RNAcentral.